CCUACGGGGUGCAGCAGUGGGGGAUAUUGCACAAUGGGGGGAACCCUGAUGCAGCGACGCCGCGUGGGUGAAGGAGCGUUUCGGCGCGUAAAGCUCUAUCGGCAGGGAAGAAGCUGACGGUACCUGACCAAGAAGCCGCGGCUAACUACGUGCCAGCAGCCGCGGGAAUACGUCGGGGGCAAGCGGUAUCCGGAUUUACUGGUGGUAAGGGGGGCGCAGACGGCAAUGCAAGCCAGGAGUGAAAGCCCGGGGCCCAACCCCGGGACUGCUCUUGGAACUGCAUGGCUGGAGUACAGGAGGGGCAGGCGGAAUUCCUAGUGUAGCGGUGAAAUGCGUAGAUAGUAGGAGGAACACCAGUGGCGAAGGCGGCCUGCUGGACUGUGACUGACGUUGAGGCCCGAAGGCGUGGGGAGCAAACAGGAUUAGAUACCCGUGUAGUC
RNAcentral lists this ribosomal RNA (440 nucleotides) under uncultured bacterium. RNAcentral's name for it is "partial 16S ribosomal RNA". It matches the Rfam family "Bacterial small subunit ribosomal RNA", at positions 338 to 795 of the family's 1533-position model. The record is from RNAcentral.